This 440-nucleotide ribosomal RNA is filed under the name uncultured bacterium. RNAcentral describes it as "partial 16S ribosomal RNA". It matches the Rfam family "Bacterial small subunit ribosomal RNA", at positions 338 to 795 of the family's 1533-position model. The record is from RNAcentral.
CCUACGGGUGGCAGCAGUGGGGAAUAUGGCACAAUGGGGGAAACCCUGAUGCAGCGACGCCGCGUGAAGGAAGAAGGAUUUCGGUAUGUAAACUUCUAUCAGCAGGGAAGAAAAUGACGGUACCUGACUAAGAAGCCCCGGCUAACUACGUGCCAGCAGCCGCGGUAAUACGGCGGGGGCAAGCGUUAUCCGGAUUUACUGGGUGUAAAGGGAGAGUAGGCGGUUCAGCAAGGCAGAAGUGAAAGCCCGGGGCUCAACUCCGGGACUGCUUGUGAAACUGUUGAACUAGAGUGCAGGAGAGGUAAGUGGAAUGCCUAGUGUAGCGGUGAAAUGCGUAGAUAUUAGGAGGAACACCAGUGGCGAAGGCGGCUUACUGGACUGUAAAUGACGCUGAGGCUCGAAAGCGUGGGGAGCAAACAGGAUUAGAUACCCGUGUAGUC